GGGUGGUAAAACACGGUUUUUCGAAGGCUUGAUUGUGUUUGUGGGGUGCACUGUAACAUAUGUUCAUGCUUCGUUUUUUAAAAAAAUGCAUUAUUUUUCAUAUAUUUUACCUUUACUCUACACUGCUCUGUCCCUCCUUGUAAAACGGUCUGAUGGUUUCCGGGUUCUAUGAAGCCAGUCCCACAAAAAUAGCAAUGGGCUCAGAUUGGUUAGCUGCCCCAGUGUGUUGUGAUUCGCUAACCGACUAGCGAAUCACAACACACUGGGUGUGUUUUUCGGUAACGUCAUGCCCAUUACCUUUACCAGUAGUCUGUGCUUUGGGGGUAUUAGAAACAAUGGCGUCAAUAAAACCAUACCAAUUUGAGCCCGAAUCGGACCCAGAAAAUUUUGAUGAAGAUGAUCGAGCAUUUCCUGUUCAAGAACGGCUGUUAAAUGACGUUUCAGAAUGUUAUGUUUAUUAUUGUUGUGAUCUAAUACUUUUUUAGAUACGCUGUUAUUUAAUUGUACUAAUUAUAAUAGUUGAUGUUGAAUUUAUAACAAUAAUAAGUGUUUGUCUAUUAACAAAAGUAUUCAAGAACCUUUUUUAUUUUAAAAAUAUAUAUAUUUUAUUAGGUGUACAUGUAAUAACUGUGCAAAAAUGCCAACUGAAGAGGAAAACAUCUGCUGCAAAGAAAUACAGAAGGUUGUAAAACGAAUGAUGGAGGUUCCAGACCCUCCUAAAUAUAUGGUUGAGCAUCCAGGUUUUGAACCAAACUGCUUAAAUCCGUAUACUUUGCAAAAUAUCAAUAAUAUUUAGAGCCGACUAUGGACCAGUGAGACGCAGAAAUGAAGAGGAGUAAGUAUUUAUUAAAUUUAAUGAAAUUAUGUUGUGUAAAAUAAUAUAAAUAAAAAACAAAUAUAUAUUUACACAAGACAUGUUAUUCAAAGACAAAAAUUAAAUCAAAAUAUCAAUUUUUAUCAAACAUAUUUUCACAUCACAUAUACAUGUUUCCAAUAUACCACUGGUUUUAUACUCAAUAUUGAGGUUUUCUGUUCCUGCCAUAGGCGCUUCCGUUAUCUGGCCUUUCGCAGUUUUGUCAGCUGGUGCUGGGGCUACCUAGGACGUAGUGUGAGAGUUGUCAUCCCCUCAUGUGUUGUUAACCGGAUCCGCCUACAGUUUCCUGAUCCAGCGGGACAGUAUGUUGGGUUCCGGCCACCCCUCGACUGAAUCGUGACACAUGCUGGGCAAUCACCUCUUCUUUGGAAGGUUUUUCAUACUGUGAUGACAGAGGAGGUGGAAUGGGGAUUGCAUGCAGCUCUUCCGCAUAUGGCUUGGGGUCCACAAAGACUUUAUGUAACAGAAGGCUCAUAAGGUCAUCGACAUAGUCUGUAAAAAACAGAAUACUGAGUCCCUCUAUGGGUUUAUAUAAUUACUGAUAAAUAAUCUACCUUUGUUUUAUAAUUAACAUUUGUGUAAUAUUUAUAAAUAUUUUUUGUAAGCUUAUAUUUAUUUCAUUAUAGCUUUUGUUAUAUUAUUGUUAAUAAAACAUUUUACAACUUA
This is a long non-coding RNA of Carassius gibelio (silver crucian carp), 1540 nucleotides long. RefSeq lists it as uncharacterized. The transcript is spliced from 2 exons. The record is from RefSeq and is a predicted model, not a curated record. Lineage: Eukaryota; Metazoa; Chordata; Actinopteri; Cypriniformes; Cyprinidae.